AAAUCAACGUUACCAUUCAACACAUUUUGUUACUCUCUCGGCUGUCUGCUAAUAUAACCCGAAAAACAAGAGAGAGAGAGGGGGGGGGAGGGGGUGAAUCUAACGGAAGAAAAUAGCAAUUGGAUUUUGAUUCUCACAUACCAUUGAAUUGCAGCGAAAGCUCAAAACUUUGUUGCCGAAUUUGUGGAGUCUGCUGGUAAGCUUUUGUUUCUUUAAUUCUUUCAACCCCAGCACCAUGUUGGAAGCUUCAUCUUAUCCUGUCCCAAGAGAAUUACCAGCAUCAUGUGAGGAAGAGAACACGUGGAUUUAUAAUGCUUGCUGCGCUGUUGAGCUCUCGAACAAGCGGCCAUUAGAAGAUGGGGAAGAUGUUACCUCAAGAAAGGCAGCAAAGGUGCUGGAGGGCCAUGAGAGACAGGAAAAGAUGGAGGCUCUGCAUGUUCAUUCCAUUGUGCAUACUGAUCAACCAGAUAAUCAGUAUCAAGCUGAUUGUCUGCAUGCUCUUUCAAUUGCACAAACUAAUCAACUAGAAAACCACCAUCAAGUAGAAAAUCAAUCGGAUUCGAGUUCACUCAUUAACCAACUUGGUCGAGACUUAUCAAUAAGCUGUCUCCUCCACUGCUCAAGGUCUGAUUAUGGUGCCAUUGCUUUACUCAAUAAAAGCUUCCAUUCUCUAGUUCAGAGUGGUCAGCUGUAUAAGCUGAGGCGGGAAGCAGGAAUUGUCGAGCGAUGGGUAUAUUUCUCUUGCAAUCUCCUUGAAUGGGAGGCCUAUGAUCCUAUUCGUCGUCGAUGGUUGCAUUUGCCAAGAAUUAAAUCAAAUGAAUGUUUCAUGUGUUCAGACAAGGAAUCGCUGGCUGUUGGUACAGAUCUUCUAGUUUUUGGAAAGGGUAUAGAGUCCCAUGUUAUUUAUAGAUAUAGCAUUUUAACAAACACAUGGACAUCUGGCAUGAAGAUGAACACACCCAGGUGCUUGUUUGGAUCUUCCAGUCUGGGGGAAAUUGCGAUACUUGCUGGUGGUUGUGAUCCACGUGGCAAUGUUUUGAACUCAGCGGAGCUAUACAAUUCAGAAACUGGCAUGUGGGUUGCUAUUCCAAACAUGAAUAAAGCUAGGAAAAUGUGUUCUGGACUGUUUAUGGAUGGCAAGUUUUAUGUUAUUGGUGGAAUUGGAGCUGGCAGUUCAAAGAUGCUGACAUGUGGGGAGGCAUAUGAUUUGAAAACAAGAACGUGGCAUGAGAUACCUGAUAUGCUGCCUGCUCAAAAUGGAGGGGCUGUGAUCACAGAAACACCUGCUGCAGCUGGGGCACCUCCUUUAGUUGCAGUUGUGAAUAAUGAGCUCUAUGCAGCUGAUUAUGCACAAAAGGAGGUGAGGAAAUAUGACAAAAAAAACAAUGUGUGGAUUACACUUGGGAGGUUACCUGAACAAGCAGUUUCGAUGAAUGGUUGGGGCCUGGCAUUUAGGGCAUGUGGAGAUCGACUUAUUGUUAUAGGUGGACCUAGGGCUCUAGGUGGAGGGAUGAUUGAGCUGCACUCAUGGGCUCCAGGUGAUGGUCCUCCAAAGUGGGACCUGCUUGCUAGUAAGCCUUCGGGCAGCUUUGUGUACAAUUGUGCUGUGAUGGGAUGCUGACGUGCACACCUAUAUCACCAACAUUGAGUAAUAUAUGGAAGUGCAAAUUUUGCUGUGAUGAGAUGGGAUGCUGAUGUGCACAUUGGUCACCAACUACGUGUAGCGUAUCAAUCUGCGCUGUUGGAUCAUGGCUUUGUUGAGGAGAUGUGAAUCUGGACAUCUGGGGUGAUGUUGAAUAAUACCUUUCCUCUUCCAGCCAAGAUCUUGUGUUCUGGUGUGUUUAUUUCUCAAGUACAAAGCUCCAAAUGAACUUUAAUAUAUACACAUAUGCAUGCAUCCAUAUCGCAUCAGCCUCUGUAUAUAUUCACUGUUUUAGUGCUCCAGUUCAGUGCGUUUAUAAUUGACUGAACUGGUUAUACUCCAGCCUAUCUGAUUAAGUUGAUGGCAUGCACUGAAAUGUCAGUUUCCUUACUUUCUAUUUUUGCUGAAUCUUAUAAAGUGUGGUUGUUCUCUAAAUCAUAAACUAGACAGCUUUAAUAUUGAGCAAUAUUUGUGUUGAGCAUCAGUCUACCUGACUUGUUCUCCUCCUCAGCCGAGGUGCAGAGUUUCAUCUCUGGUCAUGCCUGGGGUGGCUCACGUUGUGCUAUCCCAAGGAGCCAUGCCCCUGUUAACACUGCAGAGGCCGUCAAACCCCAUCUUAUUACCCGCUUGAUUGAGCCGUUGGAUUGGACAGUUCUGUAGAAGCCGAUGAGCUCUCCGAGGAGUUUUGAGUUUGAAAUUCCCUAGAUGAUCAACAUAAGAAAAAAUUACCAACUGAUUUAAGCUUCAUAAUUACCAAGGUAUUGAUUCUUGAAUAACCCUGCUGACUCAAUUGACCAGAUAGGAGGAAUUCAUGUAUUAUGAUAAUGUAAAGUAUUUUUUAUUUUAAAAUAUAUUAAAAUAAUAUUUUUUUAAUAUCAAAA
This is an RNA transcript of Populus nigra (black poplar), 2523 nucleotides long. It is a transcript of the gene named F-box/kelch-repeat protein At1g74510-like, with no coding region annotated. The record is from RefSeq and is a predicted model, not a curated record. The transcript has 4 exons. NCBI's taxonomy places the organism in Eukaryota, Viridiplantae, Streptophyta, Magnoliopsida, Malpighiales, Salicaceae.